Molecule: ribosomal RNA, 460 nt
Filed under: uncultured bacterium
Lineage: Bacteria
Description: partial 16S ribosomal RNA
Rfam family: Bacterial small subunit ribosomal RNA
Source: RNAcentral
CCUACGGGUGGCAGCAGUGAGGAAUAUUGGUCAAUGGACGAGAGGCUGAACCAGCCAAGUAGCGUGAAGGAUGACUGCGCUAUGGGUUGUAAACUUCUUUUAUAAAGGAAUAAAACGAGGCACGUGUGCCUUUUUGCAUGUACUUUAUGAAUAAGGAUCGGCUAACUCCGUGCCAGCAGCCGCGGUAAUACGGAGGAUCCGAGCGUUAUCCGGAUUUAUUGGGUUUAAAGGGAGCGUAGAUGGGUUGUUAAGUCAGUUGUGAAAGUUUGCGGCUUAACCGUAAAAGUGCAAUUGAUACUGGCAGUCUUGAGUACAGUUGAGGUAGGCGGAAUUCGUGGUGUAGCGGUGAAAUGCUUAGAUAUCACGCAGAACCCCGAUUGCGAAGGCAGCUUACUAAACUGUGACUGACAUUGAUGCUCGAAAGUGUGGGUAUCAAACAGGAUUAGAUACCCUGGUAGUC